CACUUACAGUUGUCUCGUCCUCGUGAAGCACCUGGUCGUAACCACUCAGGGCCACGCAGAAGAUGAUGGCAGUCACGUCCUCAAAGCAGUGGAUCCACUUCUUCCUCUCUGACCUCUGACCUCCCACGUCAAAGAGCCUGGAGAAAGAGAGGCAAAGUCCGAUAUCAGAUAUGAAGCUGGAAUGCUGAUUAUGCAUAACACGACCAAAUCCUACCUGAAAUGAAGGUUUUUGAAAGUGAAGUGAGUUUCCACAAUGCCGGUGGUCUUCACUCGAGUUCUCAGUAUGUCCUGCUCUGUGGGCUGGUAGUCUGCCGCCCCGAUCCGGUCUAAACUGUCCAGGUAGCUGAUGAUGGCAGGGAUCGAUAAGGUGGAUUGGACUCUACAGAAACAUCAUAAACACGUGCAGCUUUCACACUGCGCUCUCCAUGUCUGACUCACUAUUGGGCCGAGUCGUUGAGCUGGUAUUCGCGGGCCCGGUUGAAGCACUCCUGUGUCCCGGCGUCGGCCCAAACACGCUUCAUGGCGCUGAGGAGCUCUGCAGAGUAUGGCUCUGUGUCCUCCAUGCGACUCACGACAUCGCACACCAGCUUGGCAUCCGCCUGCACAAUAGACAAAAGUUCAUGUCGGAUUUUAUUUUGUGCACUGCAUAAAUUUGCUGUGCGCCGAAAACGCUGGAGCAGUGCACGACUGCGCAUGCGUGCAGCUUAGGGGGAACAUUGGAGGUGACCAGUGAUGUCAAAGAGGAAAGAUGUGAUGAUGACCAUAGAAUUGGAAAUUCAACUCAUCAUGACAUAGGAAAGUAGAACACACCUCUCUGUCUUGGCUACUCACUACAACAUGCCUAAGUGCAGAAUUACAAUUAUAAUAAUAGAAGAAAAAUAGAAUGUACACAGUGAAUUGUGCUGUGCUUAGUGUUAAUGGAACAGUAAUGAAUAGUGGGCACGCAAUUGUUUUUCUGUUUUAAUAUACAGCAGUUAGCUUCUUUUUACGCUUGCAUGUCAUUCAAUAAUGUUAAAAAGCUUGAUUCAGGAAGCUGACAAGCCUUCUUCACUUCCUGAGAGGCUGUGCUGCCAUCAAACUAAAGGGUGAGUACACAACUUCAUGUUUUGAAGUUCUAAUAUUCGUACUUGUUUUUCCACUUGUAUGACGUCUAAGAAUGAAUCUCCACUCCCCCACGCUACACGUCAUUAGUUAUUCAAGUUAGGGUUGAGUUUUAAUAUACAAGUACAGUGGCUACCCCCACAUUAGCGAUUCAGCAUUUCCGACCCAGCAAAUUAGCGGAUUUUUGGUUGAAAAUUUGAUUUUUUUUUUUCCUCACAGAAAACAUCUCUUUCACCCUACGUCGGUAAUACUUUAAAAAUACGUGACAAUACAGGUAAAAUGUACAACAUACAUGUACCACCCCACAAUUUUUACAUGUUUGUCUUUUGCACUUUGUUCGGUGGUCCUUGAACGCACCAUAGUUGUGUGUUGAGAUGCAAAAGUGAGACUUACAAUAACUUUAAAUCCAUCUGUUUUAUCGAACAUCUUACGUUAUCAUUCAUUAGUGGUGAGUACCUUUACAUUUUAUACUUGAAAUGCGUUUAGUAAGUGUGUGAGCCAUUUUAGUGCUUAAACCUGGACUGUGUCGCAAGUGAACAAGGGCAAUUGGAGAGAGAGAAGGGGAAGGGGUCUGAUCUAAUUAUUACAAUAGUCGAUUUUAUUACAAAAGUCUGAGGAGAACGUGACAUACAAGCUAGCAGGAGGGUUUGGACAGUGGGGAGUGAGCCGUGUGUCAAAAUUUUUUAUGGGCGCUGGUGGGUCCAGAACAGAAUCUCCGCAAAAAGCGGGGCUCUACUGUACAGUGGGUGACCUAUUUUUACACUUUUAUGACAUUUAAGAAUGUCUCUUAAAACAAUACUGUUAAAGGUUUUAUGGUGGCAACAGUUUGACGCUGGAACAGGUAAUUUCCUGAGGGAACUGUGCUAUCAAAAUCAGAACAAAUCCAAGGUAAAGCAGCAUUCCCAAAACGUAUUGUGUUUAACCUCAAGGGGAUCUACUCUAUUGUGAAUUGAAGACAAAAAUAUGUCUUCCUUUCCAGCAUUUCUAUGUAAUUCUAUUACAUUUCACCGCCCCCCCCGUGUCAUCACACUGGAGCAUUUCAAGAUGGAGGCGACUAACUUUUCGAUCCUUGUCUCCAAACUCGAUUCCCAGUGAGUCCAUGGCUCGGAGGAUAGCUGCCAAGCUCUGGAUGGUGUUGCUGUAGACCACAGGCUUAUACUGCUUCACGUCAUCCCCAGAGAAGCCAUCUUCAUGGAUGAUCCUGCAGGCGCACACAGACAUUAACACAAGGAAAUGUCCCAUUCUGCCAUAUGUUCCUGCGGCCCUCUGCGGUUGUCUUUUCACCUCAUGGGGAUAAAGCCUUGCAUAUUGUGGAAGUGAUUCACGCUUUCUCUCUAACACACGCGUCCGACUAAAAGACAUGACUGUAUUAUGUGGUGGACCCUCAUUACCGCCAUCCAUAACUGGACGGUUAUGUGAUAUUUAAGCAAUGUAUAAUUUAUGCCUGGCAAUGAAGUCUUUAUCCAUCACUCUGCACAGCACUCUGCUGCUCCGUUUUAAGACAGAUUGUGACUCUUUAAAGGUUAUCACCAUCACUUUCAGCUAACACAUGCUGCAUGGCACUCAUCACUUCCUGUAAUACAUACUUCCUUUGUUCCUGGAGUUUAACCUCCAUGUACACACAAGGUGCUGUGUCACACAAGGAAAAGACCGUGGCAAGGACACCUCGGGGCGUUAUUGUGGCUUAGCAUUUCCCGCAUGGGAGAAAAUCUGAAAGAGGAGGAGCUUUUUAAUAUUUUGUGCGGUGGCUGUGUGCGCAAUUGUGUAAUUAUGGAUGAGAAGUGGAUAAGAGAGAAGAGGAUUGAAUUAAUAAUAGUGAUGGCUGCAAACAACCUUGUCUUGUUUGUAUUUGGAGCAACCUUUAUGUAAAAUAUCUAUUUUGGAACACUUACUCAUAGGCCACCACCAGUCAAACAGGCUAUUUUUACACCCAAAUACUGUAGUCGUCCAUUCUUCUGAAAGGUUGCUGGAAUCAGUCUUUUCAAAGCUUUCCAGCAUCCGCAAAUGAUGAGAACUUCACUGACAAAUCACACUCAAGUGUAAAAAUAGAAAUCCAGACAUAUUUGCAGCUGCGAGUGACUCGCUAAGUUAGUGCAUCGCCCCCAAAUGGGCUGGCCUUUUUCAAUUCAAUUAUUCAUAUCCUAGGAAGCUAACUUUGUGCCAGUAAAAACUUACAAAUAUGAGACAUUUGGAGGCGUUCACUUCCUGCAAAUGAAUCUAGACGCUCAACUCACUUCACACUCAUUUUAACAACAUCAAGACAAUCACUAUUCAAUCAUCUGUGCUUAAAAUAUUGACAUCCUAUCUGCUUGUUUGGCCUAAACAAACUAGAAAAUAAACAGGCAUUGCAAUUUGGCAGGAGGGUGUUGCGUUCUGGGUAGUUACGGUAAAGAAAGUCCUCAAAGUAAAUAGGUGAAGGAAGAAGAGGAAGCAGCAAUGGGGGAGGGAGGACGCACUCGCAAGGACGGUGUAGAUGUGGAGAAGAUUCCCGUUAGAAAAUAUACAAUAGACGGUGAUUUAUCAUGAAAACAUCUCGAAACUUCACUAAGAGGUUUAGUGCGAACUACAACAGUGAUUUAAAACAUCAAAGGGUGAUUUAGCUUAGCCUAGGGACGCUUUAGAUGCGGUUUUCAAGCCAUAUUUCUACGUAAAUCCGCUUUAUAGGCAAAGUACUCCCGCCGAUAUCGGGCACUUAAAGCCAUUAAGAUUAAAAGCAGAGGUAUUCACUAAUGGAGCUGUGCUGACCUCACUCAGAUCCACACACACGAACAACACCCAAAUCGUCCGUCACACGCUCCAACCAUGAAGCCGACAACGUCUCGUUAAGUACAUUUCAGCACCCGACGGAGCGAACAGCA
Dunckerocampus dactyliophorus (ringed pipefish) is the source of this 3959-nucleotide long non-coding RNA. RefSeq lists it as uncharacterized. The transcript is spliced from 3 exons. NCBI's taxonomy places the organism in Eukaryota, Metazoa, Chordata, Actinopteri, Syngnathiformes, Syngnathidae. The record is from RefSeq and is a predicted model, not a curated record.